CCGUGUCCAGGGUCCUGGGCCGCGACCUGGUUCUCCCGGAGUCUACAAGUGGAGCCUUUCAAGCUGUCAUGGAGAGCUUAAGGGGCGACUGAAGGAGACACGCUGGCCAAGCGCGGAAUUCUGGUUACUUCAGUCCUGCUGAGAUAUUCUCUCAGUCCGCUCACACUGAAGGAAGCUGCCUUGGGAUCAGAGCAGACAUAAAGCUAGACAGAUUUCGAGAUGAAAUUGAAAUGGCCAAUGAGCACACGCUCAUUCAUCCAACGAGCAUUGAGGACCCCCUAGAGGCCAGGCCCAUGAGUGAUGAAGAUCCCGAGGAUGAAGACGCCUUGCCAGCCAGCUUUGCUGUGCUCUGAGCAUGACUAAACUAAAAGUAAUGAAUCCAGACCUUGAAGACUGGUGUGUGUGUAAAAGGAAAGAAGUGAGAAGAUUCAUGUGUAGAUCCAGGACAAUCUGAAUUUACUUCUGUUCAGUAUUUCCCAAAGGCUUUUUCUACAUGGAGGGACUUGGAGUGACACAGCAGCUCCCUCUUGUGGGCAGAUUCCCCCGUGUAAGGUGCUGGAGGCUGAGGUUCCAGCCUGCAGCC
This 583-nucleotide small RNA is filed under the name Pongo abelii (Sumatran orangutan). RNAcentral's name for it is "processed transcript". Lineage: Eukaryota; Metazoa; Chordata; Mammalia; Primates; Hominidae. The record is from RNAcentral.